Molecule: ribosomal RNA, 2923 nt
Filed under: Klebsiella pneumoniae
Lineage: Bacteria; Pseudomonadati; Pseudomonadota; Gammaproteobacteria; Enterobacterales; Enterobacteriaceae
Description: 23S ribosomal RNA
Rfam family: Bacterial large subunit ribosomal RNA
Source: RNAcentral
GGGUUGUGAGGUUAAGCGACUAAGCGUACACGGUGGAUGCCCUGGCAGUCAGAGGCGAUGAAGGACGUGCUAAUCUGCGAAAAGCGUCGGUAAGGUGAUAUGAACCGUUAUAACCGGCGAUGUCCGAAUGGGGAAACCCAGUGCAAUUCGUUGCACUAUCGUUAACUGAAUACAUAGGUUAACGAGGCGAACCGGGGGAACUGAAACAUCUAAGUACCCCGAGGAAAAGAAAUCAACCGAGAUUCCCCCAGUAGCGGCGAGCGAACGGGGAGCAGCCCAGAGUCUGAAUCAGCUUGUGUGUUAGUGGAACGGUCUGGAAAGUCCGACGGUACAGGGUGAUAGUCCCGUACACCAAAAUGCACAGGUUGUGAACUCGAAGAGUAGGGCGGGACACGUGGUAUCCUGUCUGAAUAUGGGGGGACCAUCCUCCAAGGCUAAAUACUCCUGACUGACCGAUAGUGAACUAGUACCGUGAGGGAAAGGCGAAAAGAACCCCGGCGAGGGGAGUGAAAAAGAACCUGAAACCGUGUACGUACAAGCAGUGGGAGCACCUUCGGGUGUGACUGCGUACCUUUUGUAUAAUGGGUCAGCGACUUAUAUUCUGUAGCAAGGUUAACCGUAUAGGGGAGCCGCAGGGAAACCGAGUCUUAACUGGGCGUUAAGUUGCAGGGUAUAGACCCGAAACCCGGUGAUCUAGCCAUGGGCAGGUUGAAGGUUGGGUAACACUAACUGGAGGACCGAACCGACUAAUGUUGAAAAAUUAGCGGAUGACUUGUGGCUGGGGGUGAAAGGCCAAUCAAACCGGGAGAUAGCUGGUUCUCCCCGAAAGCUAUUUAGGUAGCGCCUCGUGAAUUCAUCUUCGGGGGUAGAGCACUGUUUCGGCUAGGGGGUCAUCCCGACUUACCAAUCCGAUGCAAACUACGAAUACCGAAGAAUGUUAUCACGGGAGACACACGGCGGGUGCUAACGUCCGUCGUGAAGAGGGAAACAACCCAGACCGCCAGCUAAGGUCCCAAAGUCAUGGUUAAGUGGGAAACGAUGUGGGAAGGCACAGACAGCCAGGAUGUUGGCUUAGAAGCAGCCAUCAUUUAAAGAAAGCGUAAUAGCUCACUGGUCGAGUCGGCCUGCGCGGAAGAUGUAACGGGGCUAAACCAUGCACCGAAGCUGCGGCAGCGACACUAUGUGUUGUUGGGUAGGGGAGCGUUCUGUAAGCCUGCGAAGGUGACCUGUGAGGGUUGCUGGAGGUAUCAGAAGUGCGAAUGCUGACAUAAGUAACGAUAAAGCGGGUGAAAAGCCCGCUCGCCGGAAGACCAAGGGUUCCUGUCCAACGUUAAUCGGGGCAGGGUGAGUCGACCCCUAAGGCGAGGCCGAAAGGCGUAGUCGAUGGGAAACAGGUUAAUAUUCCUGUACUUGGUGUUACUGCGAAGGGGGGACGGAGAAGGCUAUGUUAGCCGGGCGACGGUUGUCCCGGUUUAAGCAUGUAGGCUGGUUGUCCAGGCAAAUCCGGAUAAUCAAGGCUGAGGUGUGAUGACGAGGCACUACGGUGCUGAAGUAACAAAUGCCCUGCUUCCAGGAAAAGCCUCUAAGCAUCAGGUAACAUUAAAUCGUACCCCAAACCGACACAGGUGGUCAGGUAGAGAAUACCAAGGCGCUUGAGAGAACUCGGGUGAAGGAACUAGGCAAAAUGGUGCCGUAACUUCGGGAGAAGGCACGCUGGUGUGUAGGUGAAGUCCCUGCGGAUGGAGCUGAGACCAGUCGAAGAUACCAGCUGGCUGCAACUGUUUAUUAAAAACACAGCACUGUGCAAACACGAAAGUGGACGUAUACGGUGUGACGCCUGCCCGGUGCCGGAAGGUUAAUUGAUGGGGUUAUCCGUAAGGAGAAGCUCUUGAUCGAAGCCCCGGUAAACGGCGGCCGUAACUAUAACGGUCCUAAGGUAGCGAAAUUCCUUGUCGGGUAAGUUCCGACCUGCACGAAUGGCGUAAUGAUGGCCAGGCUGUCUCCACCCGAGACUCAGUGAAAUUGAACUCGCUGUGAAGAUGCAGUGUACCCGCGGCAAGACGGAAAGACCCCGUGAACCUUUACUAUAGCUUGACACUGAACAUUGAGCCUUGAUGUGUAGGAUAGGUGGGAGGCUUUGAAGCGUGGACGCCAGUCUGCGUGGAGCCAACCUUGAAAUACCACCCUUUAAUGUUUGAUGUUCUAACGUUGGCCCCUUACCGGGGUUGCGGACAGUGUCUGGUGGGUAGUUUGACUGGGGCGGUCUCCUCCCAAAGCGUAACGGAGGAGCACGAAGGUUAGCUAAUCCUGGUCGGACAUCAGGAGGUUAGUGCAAUGGCAUAAGCUAGCUUGACUGCGAGCGUGACGGCGCGAGCAGGUGCGAAAGCAGGUCAUAGUGAUCCGGUGGUUCUGAAUGGAAGGGCCAUCGCUCAACGGAUAAAAGGUACUCCGGGGAUAACAGGCUGAUACCGCCCAAGAGUUCAUAUCGACGGCGGUGUUUGGCACCUCGAUGUCGGCUCAUCACAUCCUGGGGCUGAAGUAGGUCCCAAGGGUAUGGCUGUUCGCCAUUUAAAGUGGUACGCGAGCUGGGUUUAGAACGUCGUGAGACAGUUCGGUCCCUAUCUGCCGUGGGCGCUGGAGAAUUGAGGGGGGCUGCUCCUAGUACGAGAGGACCGGAGUGGACGCAUCACUGGUGUUCGGGUUGUCAUGCCAAUGGCACUGCCCGGUAGCUAAAUGCGGAAGAGAUAAGUGCUGAAAGCAUCUAAGCACGAAACUUGCCCCGAGAUGAGUUCUCCCUGAGACUUUAAGUCUCCUGAAGGAACGUUAAAGACGAUGACGUUGAUAGGCCGGGUGUGUAAGCGCAGCGAUGCGUUGAGCUAACCGGUACUAAUGAACCGUGAGGCUUAACCUUACAACGCCGAAG